AUAGCUGUUGUACGUGCUGCUGUAGCGGCGGUUUUCUUAGUGUGUUUCUCAAAGAUGAAGAAGAGCAACUAAAACUUGAAAACUAUGGAGUAAACUCUUAACAGUAGAACUAUAAUAUCUGCAGAUUGCUUGUAUCGUAAAGAAAAAUGUAAUCUUUAGCAUUGUGUAGUUGAAAUAAUAUUCACUGUUAAACAAGGUACCUCUUAAGUUCGAG
Molecule: unclassified non-coding RNA, 214 nt
Filed under: Hevea brasiliensis (rubber tree)
Lineage: Eukaryota; Viridiplantae; Streptophyta; Magnoliopsida; Malpighiales; Euphorbiaceae
Source: RNAcentral